RNAcentral lists this long non-coding RNA (807 nucleotides) under Gallus gallus (chicken). RNAcentral describes it as "long non-coding RNA NONGGAT004966". Lineage: Eukaryota; Metazoa; Chordata; Aves; Galliformes; Phasianidae. The record is from RNAcentral.
AGAAGAGCCAAAGCUGACAAUACCAUGCACUUCCCAUGCGCCAUCUGCAUUUUGACAGUUCAGUGGACCACCAGAGUCCCCCUGAGAAGAAGAGGAAACGUGGUUAAUGGCGUGAGUAGUUCUUCCUUGUGUUUUAAGCUUUCCUUCCCAUCAGGCCGGGUUGUGUUAAGCCAAGCCCUGAGAGUGGUGUUCUCUGGACUCACGUUACAACUGGAGGUGAUUCCAUCUCCACCAGCGCACACCAUGUUGGUUUUCACCGUGCUUCCCCACCAGUUGGUCUUGGAACAAGUUGCAUAAUCUACUACCAGCAACAGGCCUUGCUGCAGUUCAUCUGGGAGAGCUCCAUUUGCUGGGAAGUAACGGAAAUGAAGGAGUCAUGAUACCAGCUGGCAAUGAAGGAAGAGCAAAAGUGCACUGCUAAGCUUCUCCCAGGAUCUGCAUGCUAUUCCUCCAGUCAAUCCCAAGGAAGAUGGCAGUGCUGAAGGCCUUUGCUUUGCAGUUUUGCCCGUCUCCCACUACUCACUCUGCAGUCUUCCCCAUCCCGUCACGUAGCAGGCAGUGUUGGAUGACAGGAUGCUUUCUGCAGGAGGGAGGCAGGCCAGCUUGAUUUUGUCACUCAGUUCAACGUGUUCGGUUCCCUUCACCAAAAACAGAUGCAUAUGUGAGGACCAAUUACAGGCACCUGGAAAAUGAGAUGGUUUCUUUGCUAAUGCGCUCAGCCCACCAGCAUGCACAGGAGUCCUUCAAAUUCCCUACAAAGGAGGAAAGGUAUGGACUGGAGCGAACACUUUGAAGUCUUUGAAGUUU